Molecule: regulatory RNA element, 125 nt
Organism: Bacillus licheniformis
Lineage: Bacteria; Bacillati; Bacillota; Bacilli; Caryophanales; Bacillaceae
Rfam family: ylbH leader
About the family: This family is a putative regulatory RNA structure that is found upstream of the ylbH gene in B. subtilis and related low GC Gram-positive bacteria.
Source: Rfam
UUAAAAAAAUCCCCGCAGAAGUACCUCUGCGGGGUCCUUCUAUUCCUUAAAAAAUUAAGGAGAAGGCAAAGGGAGAGGAGAAACCGGAGGAAGAACUUAUGGGGAAACGUAAGUCUUCUCCGCGG